This 407-nucleotide ribosomal RNA is filed under the name uncultured bacterium. RNAcentral's name for it is "bacterial SSU rRNA". It matches the Rfam family "Bacterial small subunit ribosomal RNA", at positions 976 to 1381 of the family's 1533-position model. The record is from RNAcentral.
AACACUUGACAUGUUCGUCGCGACUUUAAGAGAUUAAAGUUUUCGGUUCGGCCGGACGAAACACAGGUGCUGCAUGGCUGUCGUCAGCUCGUGUCGUGAGAUGUUGGGUUAAGUCCCGCAACGAGCGCAACCCUCACUUUUAGUUGCCAUCAUUAAGUUGGGCACUCUGAAAGAACUGCCAGUGAUAAGCUGGAGGAAGGUGGGGAUGACGUCAAGUCCUCAUGGCCCUUACGUGUUGGGCUACACACGUGCUACAAUGGUAUCUACAACAGGAAGCAAGACUGCGAAGUUAAGCAAAUCCCUAAAAGAUACCUCAGUUCGGAUUGCACUCUGCAACUCGAGUGCAUGAAGCUGGAAUUACUAGUAAUCGUGGAUCAGCGUGCCACGGUGAAUGCGUUCCCGGGUCU